AAUGAACGCUGGCGGUAUGUCUAACACAUGCAAGUCGAACGAAUGCUUCGGGCUUAGUGGCGAACUGUUGCGUAAAGCGUUGGAAUCUGCCCGUGGGUACGGAACAACUGUUAGAAAUGACUGCUAAUACCGGACGAUGUCGUAAGACCAAAGAUUUAUCGCCCAAGGAUGAGCCCGCGUAGGAUUAGCUAGUUGGUGGUGUAAUGGCCUACCAAGGCGACGAUCCUUAGCUGGUCUGAGAGGAUGACAAGCCACACUGGGACUGAGACACGGCACAGACACAUGAGCGAAGCAGCAGGGAGGAAUAUUGGAACAUGGCCAGGAGACUGAUCGACUGAUGCCGCGUAGAUGUUGCUGAUGUGAGGGUUGUGAAGCUCUUUUACCCGCGCCGAUAAUGACAGCACCGGGAGAGUAAGCACCGGCUAACUUCGUG
RNAcentral lists this ribosomal RNA (433 nucleotides) under uncultured bacterium. Its description in RNAcentral is "partial 16S ribosomal RNA". It matches the Rfam family "Bacterial small subunit ribosomal RNA", at positions 29 to 507 of the family's 1533-position model. The record is from RNAcentral.